RNAcentral lists this long non-coding RNA (2225 nucleotides) under Sus scrofa (pig). Its description in RNAcentral is "lncRNA (ENSSSCG00065002864.1)". The record is from RNAcentral. Lineage: Eukaryota; Metazoa; Chordata; Mammalia; Artiodactyla; Suidae.
UUUUUUUCCUAUGGGUAAAGAAACAAGAAAGCAAGCUUGUUAGAAAAAUAAGGGAACCCAAAAACCAGUAAAGUCCUAUAUGAAGGAUAAGAAAUAAAGUUCAUGAUUUUCCUCUAAGGUUUUUGCAACUCUUUGAAGUCACAGUGCCCUUUUUUUUUAAAUCAUUGUUACUUUCCACUCUGCUUUGCAGAUUAAAAAUAAUUGACCCUUACCUUGUUAGUAGGUAGGAUUUCCCUGAAUGUAGAACCUACAAUAAAGUGAAAUUUAAUGGAUAACAAAUUGAUGUAACAAAAGCACAUAAGUUCCAAAAAUGUUAAAGUAACCUGGAGGACAGCCUUCUAAUACAGGCUUGGAGAUAACCCACUUGCCAGCUUUUUGCCCGCCCAUUUACCCUGGGUGACACUUAGCGGGUUCAUCUCCCUCAUACAAACACAUGUGAUUCCCAGGCAGAUGUCCUCCUCCAGAGAAAGGCCCAACAGGAAAGAGGGCAGUUACACAAAGGAAGAAAUCAACACUGCCUAACGAGAAUAAUGAACCAAAGCUUUCACUCAAAUGUGGGUAGACAACAAAAAAUUGUCUGAGGUCCAAAGAAAAUCAACAACAUGAGCAAGAGAGAACACGGCGAGAAAGGGGCAAUUUCAAGCUAUAGAAGAAAGACACACAAACUAUUAACACCCAAAUACCAUAAAAAUUACAGGAUGCUUCAAAAAGAAGUGACCUGAGAACAUCAAAACACUUAGAAAGUUACACCACUGUCAAGAGAAAGAUAAAUAUAGGUCUGGAACAUAAAUGUGAAUAUAGUGCCCAGAUUUUUACAUCUUAAAAGGAGAAAAAUAUGAAAGAAAGAUAACACAGAUCAAUUCAGCAGAUAAAUUAUGUGAUGAAUGAGCAUUAACACCAGGGAAAAGCAGGGAAGAAUGGAGUGGAGGAAUGUAUAAAAGAAACAACAUGGGAAAAAAUAUCCCAAAUUACAAGAGCACAAGAAUUUAUAUUGAGGGAGUUCCUGUUGUGCCUCAGCAGGAAAGAACCUGAUUAGCAUCCAUUGGGAUGCAGGUUUGAUCCCUGACCUUGUUCAGUGGGUGAAAGAUCCUGUAUUGCCAUGAGCUGUGGUGUAGGUCACAGACACGGCUCGGAUCCUGCAUUGCUGUGCCUGUAGUGUAAGCUGGCAGCUGCAGCUCUGAUUUGACCCGUAGCCUGAAAACUUCCAUAUGCUGCAAGCGAGGCCCUAAAAUUAAAAAGGAAAAGAAAAAAGAAAGAAUUUAUAUUGAAAUAAAUAGGAUCCUAGACACCAAGACCCUAAACACAUUAUAAAUAUGUCCUGCCAGGCAGGAGGAGUAAAUUGACAUCCAUGUUUACUCUUUCACUGGAGCCAAACAGGACUCUUUUCAUUAUCAUGAGCUAAGAGUAGCAGAAGAGGGUCAGAUUUAAUAUGGACAUAAUACUUUAGCACCAAAGUGAAGAUUAAAAUAGCAUCAAUGCACACAGUGAGAAAGGUUUUGUAGUAAUUCAAAGAGGGUGACUAAUUGUUUCACUGUUAUCUGCUGAAGAUUAUACAAAAUUACUAGAUACCAUAAAAGAAAACGAGUAGGAUUGAAACUAUUCUCAAAAUACUGUGUAAGUAUGUGUACUAGUUUAACCAGUCUUGAUUGAACAAAGUAUGUUCUAAAUAUUAUUCUCAAAUGUUUGAACGUAUUCUAAAAUAUCUGAAUAGUAAUUAAAUCAGUAUAUAUUUCACAGCUUUUAUUUAUAUGCUUCCAAUUGUUUUUCAAAAAUAUUAGUCACAUUAAAAAAUGUAUGUCAUUUCAUGCGCUAACUCUACACAUUUUAUUUAGAGACGAUUGAACAAAAACCUAAAAAGACAUGUCUCAAAAUAUGGAAAAGGAAUUAUAAAGAAGUAUUAUAUUCAUUCACAUUCUGACUUUUCCACCUAAUCAUGUUUAUUUAUAUAGAUAUAUAUUACUUAAAUAUAAUUAUUCAUAUUUAUACCAGUUAUUCAAUAAUGAAAAACAUUACUUAUAAGAUACUAUGAUGUUUACUGAAAGUCAUAUUUAAUACCAAAUAGAAAAUUUCACGUAUUCUGCUUAAAUACAUUUUUAAAUUAAAAGGGCAGAAAGUAUAGAUAAAUGCAAAAUUAUCUAUGAACACUUACAUAAUUUCAACAUAAAAUGUUCACAUAAACUUAUAAUUAAUUGUGUUUUGAUUGUCAGGUUUAAAACAUAACACUU